GAUCAGCCACACUGGGACUGACACACGGACCAGACUCCUACGGGAGGCAGCAGUAAGGAAUAUUGGUCAAUGGGCGCAAGCCUGAACCAGCCAUGCCGCGUGCAGGAAGACGGCCCUAUGGGUUGUAAACUGCUUUUGUCAGGGAAUAAACCCCCGCUCGUGAGCGGGGCUGAAGGUACCUGAAGAAUAAGCAUCGGCUAACUCCGUGCCAGCAGCCGCGGUAAUACGGAGGAUGCAAGCGUUAUCCGGAUUCAUUGGGUUUAAAGGGUGCGCAGGCGGAUUGGUAAGUCAGGGGUGAAAUCCCACAGCUCAACUGUGGAACUGCCUUUGAUACUGUCAGUCUAGAGUAUAGUUGAAGUUGGUGGAAUGUGUCAUGUAGCGGUGAAAUGCUUAGAUAUGACACAGAACACCGAUCGCGAAGGCAGCUAGCUAAGCUAUAACUGACGCUCAUGCACGAAAGCGUGGGGAUCAAACAGGAUUAGAUACCCUGGUAGUCCACGCUGUAAACGAUGAUUACUCGAUGUUGGCGAUACACAGUCAGCGUCUGAGCGAAAGCAAUAAGUAAUCCACCUGGGGAGUACGAUCGCAAGAUUGAAACUCAAAGGAAUUGACGGGGGCCCGCACAAGCGGAGGAGCAUGUGGUUUAAUUCGAUGAUACGCGAGGAACCUUACCUGGGCUCGAACGUAAGAUGACUGUAGGUGAAAGCUUACAUCUCUUCGGAGCAUUUUACGAGGUGCUGCAUGGUUGUCGUCAGCUCGUGCCGUGAGGUGUCGGGUUAAGUCCCAUAACGAGCGCAACCCCUACCUUUAGUUGCCAUCAGUCAUGCUGGGGACUCUAAAGAUACUGCCCC
Molecule: ribosomal RNA, 851 nt
Filed under: uncultured sulfate-reducing bacterium
Lineage: Bacteria
Description: bacterial SSU rRNA
Rfam family: Bacterial small subunit ribosomal RNA
Source: RNAcentral